AGCGAACGCUGGCGGCAGGCUUAACACAUGCAAGUCGAGCGGGCCCUUCGGGGUCAGCGGCAGACGGGUGAGUAACACGUGGGAACGUGCCCUUCGGUUCGGAAUAACUCAGGGAAACUUGAGCUAAUACCGGAUACGCCCUUAUGGGGAAAGGUUUACUGCCGAAGGAUCGGCCCGCGUCUGAUUAGCUUGUUGGUGGGGUAACGGCCUACCAAGGCGACGAUCAGUAGCUGGUCUGAGAGGAUGAUCAGCCACACUGGGACUGAGACACGGCCCAGACUCCUACGGGAGGCAGCAGUGGGGAAUAUUGGACAAUGGGCGCAAGCCUGAUCCAGCCAUGCCGCGUGAGUGAUGAAGGCCUUAGGGUUGUAAAGCUCUUUUGUCCGGGACGAUAAUGACGGUACCGGAAGAAUAAGCCCCGGCUAACUUCGUGCCAGCCGCCGCAGUAA
This 449-nucleotide ribosomal RNA is filed under the name uncultured bacterium. Its description in RNAcentral is "partial 16S ribosomal RNA". It matches the Rfam family "Bacterial small subunit ribosomal RNA", at positions 29 to 523 of the family's 1533-position model. The record is from RNAcentral.